UUUUCGAAUGAUAUUUAAGAAGAUCCAAUGAAAGCCACGUCAUGAACUUGUUGGUGAUCUUGGUGUCUUCUAUAUCAUUAACUGGAUGAGAUAUGAAGGGAUGUUUCUGAUCAAAUGUUCUCCGUUGCAUUUCUGUGCAGAAACAAAAGUUCAAUUACUAUCCCAUAUGUAUUUAUGAAAUACAUAUUAACAAAUGUAUCUGUUACUACUUCAUUGUUACAUAUAUAAGCUAUCAAAUUUCAACAUAAAAAUUAUCAUAAAAAUAUAACCAUUUCUCAUUAAAAACAAAUACAGCUAAUCCAAAAAAAAAAAAAAAACUGAACAUCAAAAUACAAAGAAUACUUCAUUAUCCAUUAAAAAAAUAAUUUCAAUACAUAAAGUAAACAAAUAUGUUAACAAAAAAAAUUAUGUUAAGAUUACUAACCAUCUACUGAAUCAAAAUUUAUUGUGAAUGGUGACUUCUUGUAUCUAGAUGGUCGCCUAAUCCUUGAAACAUGCAUUGGCGUUUGUUGUGCUUCAUUUGCCGAUGGAUGUACAAUUAUACUUCGUUCAAGAUUGACAUACGCAUUAAGACUAGGAAGAACC
This 585-nucleotide long non-coding RNA is filed under the name Capsicum annuum. RNAcentral's name for it is "long non-coding RNA (CANN_LNC004326)". The record is from RNAcentral. Lineage: Eukaryota; Viridiplantae; Streptophyta; Magnoliopsida; Solanales; Solanaceae.